Molecule: ribosomal RNA, 429 nt
Filed under: Chloroflexota bacterium
Lineage: Bacteria; Bacillati; Chloroflexota
Description: Chloroflexi bacterium partial 16S ribosomal RNA
Rfam family: Bacterial small subunit ribosomal RNA
Source: RNAcentral
UGGGGAAUAUUGCACAAUGGGCGCAAGCCUGAUGCAGCCAUGCCGCGUGUAUGAAGAAGGCCUUCGGGUUGUAAAGUACUUUCAGCGGGGAGGAAGGGAGUAAAGUUAAUACCUUUACUCAUUGACGUUACCCGCAGAAGAAGCACCGGCUAACUCCGUGCCAGCAGCCGCGGUAAUACGGAGGGUGCAAGCAUUAAUCGGAAUUACUGGGCGUAAAGCGCACGCAGGCGGUUUGUUAAGUCAGAUGUGAAAUCCCCGGGCUCAACCUGGGAACUGCAUCUGAUACUGGCAAGCUUGAGUCUCGUAGAGGGGGGUAGAAUUCCAGGUGUAGCGGUGAAAUGCGUAGAGAUCUGGAGGAAUACCGGUGGCGAAGGCGGCCCCCUGGACGAAGACUGACGCUCAGGUGCGAAAGCGUGGGGAGCAAACAGG